Molecule: ribosomal RNA, 536 nt
Filed under: uncultured bacterium
Lineage: Bacteria
Description: bacterial SSU rRNA
Rfam family: Bacterial small subunit ribosomal RNA
Source: RNAcentral
CCCUGGCCUUGACAUACUAAGAACUUUCCAGAGAUGGAUUGGUGCCUUCGGGAACUUAGAUACAGGUGCUGCAUGGCUGUCGUCAGCUCGUGUCGUGAGAUGUUGGGUUAAGUCCGCAACGAGCGCAACCCUUUUCCUUAUUUGCCAGCGGGUAAUGCCGGGAACUUUAAGGAUACUGCCAGUGACAAACUGGAGGAAGGCGGGGACGACGUCAAGUCAUCAUGGCCCUUACGGCCAGGGCUACACACGUGCUACAAUGGUCGGUACAAAGGGUUGCUACCUCGCGAGAGGAUGCUAAUCUCAAAAAGCCGAUCGUAGUCCGGAUCGCAGUCUGCAACUCGACUGCGUGAAGUCGGAAUCGCUAGUAAUCGCGGAUCAGAAUGCCGCGGUGAAUACGUUCCCGGGCCUUGUACACACCGCCCGUCACACCAUGGGAGUUUGUUGCACCAGAAGUAGGUAGUCUAACCGCAAGGAGGACGCUUACCACGGUGUGGCCGAUGACUGGGGUGAAGUCGUAACAAGGUAGGCGUAGAUGA